GUAAUUCCAGCUCCAAUAGCGUAUAUUAAAGUUGUUGCAGUUAAAAAGCUCGUAGUUGAAUUUCGGGGUCAGCAGGUUGGUCGUGCCUCUGGUACGCACUGGUUUCGCUGAUUCCUCCUUUCUGAAGAACUGUAAUGUCAUUAAUUUGGUGUUGCAGGGAAACAGGACUGUUACUUUGAAAAAAUUAGAGUGUUUAAAGCAAGCUAACGCUUGAAUACAUUAGCAUGGAAUAAUGAAAUAGGACGUUUGAUCCUAUUUUGUUGGUUUCUAGGAUUGACGUAAUGAUUAAUAGGGAUAGUUGGGGGCAUUAGUAUUCAAUUGUCAGAGGUGAAAUUCUUGGAUUUAUUGAAGACUAACUACUGCGAAAGCAUUUGCCAAGGAUGUUUUCAUUAAUCAAGAACGAAAGUUAGGGGAUCGAAGACGAUCAGAUACCGUCGUAGUCUUAACCAUAAACUAUGCCGACUAGGGAUCGGAUGAUGUUAAUUUUUUAA
This 491-nucleotide ribosomal RNA is filed under the name uncultured Glomus. RNAcentral describes it as "SSU rRNA". It matches the Rfam family "Eukaryotic small subunit ribosomal RNA", at positions 579 to 1074 of the family's 1831-position model. Lineage: Eukaryota; Fungi; Glomeromycota; Glomeromycetes; Glomerales; Glomeraceae. The record is from RNAcentral.